Molecule: unclassified non-coding RNA, 543 nt
Filed under: Hevea brasiliensis (rubber tree)
Lineage: Eukaryota; Viridiplantae; Streptophyta; Magnoliopsida; Malpighiales; Euphorbiaceae
Source: RNAcentral
UCUUGCUCUUCUUCGGUUCUUAUCCUUCACUUCCGUUAAAAAUCCACCCGAGAUCCGAUCCUUUGCUUCUGCAUAUGCCAGUUCGUACCACAAUGAGCUACUAGAAGUAUUACUGAAUCUAUGCAAAGUCAUUCUUGAUGGCUCCAUGUGCCAAUUAAUGAGCUGCGAAUUCUUCUACAACUCAUCCAGAACUACCCUCCCACGAGCAUGUGUAUGAACUUUAAUAUCUCAGUUAAUUUCUGCAUUUUAAGUACAAAUUUUGUUGGCUUAAGUAGAAGAAAAUUAACAAAAUUUGCCCUGAUUUUAUUUUAAAGGUUAAAUAAUAGCCAAUUUCCAAGCCUAAACUUUUCCCCAAAACCCAAACAUAUAUCUUGUAGGCAAGCAAAAUUUACCAACUUGGUAGAAACCUCGGCCAUGUCAGUUUGGUCUUGGACAAGAGAAGAUUAGCAGCAAACUAAGCGAGUUGGGGCUACAUCACGAGGCAAGUGGAGAAUAUAAAAAUGGGUAAUUUAUUUAUACUUAUAGAUUAUGUUUUAUAAAGGG